GUAGAACGCUGAAGAGAGGAGCUUGCUCUUCUUGGAUGAGUUGCGAACGGGUGAGUAACGCGUAGGUAACCUGCCUUGUAGCGGGGGAUAACUAUUGGAAACGAUAGCUAAUACCGCAUAACAAUGGAUGACACAUGUCAUUUAUUUGAAAGGGGCAAUUGUUCCACUACAAGAUGGACCUGCGUUGUAUUAGCUAGUAGGUGAGGUAAUGGCUCACCUAGGCGACGAUACAUAGCCGACCUGAGAGGGUGAUCGGCCACACUGGGACUGAGACACGGCCCAGACUCCUACGGGAGGCAGCAGUAGGGAAUCUUCGGCAAUGGGGGCAACCCUGACCGAGCAACGCCGCGUGAGUGAAGAAGGUUUUCGGAUCGUAAAGCUCUGUUGUAAGUCAAGAACGGGUGUGAGAGUGGAAAGUUCACACUGUGACGGUAGCUUACCAGAAAGGGACGGCUAACUACGUGCCAGCAGCCGCGGUAAUACGUAGGUCCCGAGCGUUGUCCGGAUUUAUUGGGCGUAAAGCGAGCGCAGGCGGUUUGAUAAGUCUGAAGUUAAAGGCUGUGGCUCAACCAUAGUUCGCUUUGGAAACUGUCAAACUUGAGUGCAGAAGGGGAGAGUGGAAUUCCAUGUGUAGCGGUGAAAUGCGUAGAUAUAUGGAGGAACACCGGUGGCGAAAGCGGCUCUCUGGUCUGUAACUGACGCUGAGGCUCGAAAGCGUGGGGAGCGAACAGGAUUAGAUACCCUGGUAGUCCACGCCGUAAACGAUGAGUGCUAGGUGUUGGAUCCUUUCCGGGAUUCAGUGCCGCAGCUAACGCAUUAAGCACUCCGCCUGGGGAGUACGACCGCAAGGUUGAAACUCAAAGGAAUUGACGGGGGCCCGCACAAGCGGUGGAGCAUGUGGUUUAAUUCGAAGCAACGCGAAGAACCUUACCAGGUCUUGACAUCCCGAUGCUAUUUCUAGAGAUAGAAAGUUACUUCGGUACAUCGGUGACAGGUGGUGCAUGGUUGUCGUCAGCUCGUGUCGUGAGAUGUUGGGUUAAGUCCCGCAACGAGCGCAACCCCUAUUGUUAGUUGCCAUCAUUCAGUUGGGCACUCUAGCGAGACUGCCGGUAAUAAACCGGAGGAAGGUGGGGAUGACGUCAAAUCAUCAUGCCCCUUAUGACCUGGGCUACACACGUGCUACAAUGGUUGGUACAACGAGUUGCGAGUCGGUGACGGCGAGCUAAUCUCUUAAAGCCAAUCUCAGUUCGGAUUGUAGGCUGCAACUCGCCUACAUGAAGUCGGAAUCGCUAGUAAUCGCGGAUCAGCACGCCGCGGUGAAUACGUUCCCGGGCCUUGUACACACCGCCCGUCACACCACGAGAGUUUGUAACACCCGAAGUCGGUGA
This 1388-nucleotide ribosomal RNA is filed under the name Streptococcus thermophilus. Its description in RNAcentral is "bacterial SSU rRNA". It matches the Rfam family "Bacterial small subunit ribosomal RNA", at positions 61 to 1433 of the family's 1533-position model. The record is from RNAcentral. Lineage: Bacteria; Bacillati; Bacillota; Bacilli; Lactobacillales; Streptococcaceae.